Molecule: ribosomal RNA, 447 nt
Filed under: uncultured bacterium
Lineage: Bacteria
Description: partial 16S ribosomal RNA
Rfam family: Bacterial small subunit ribosomal RNA
Source: RNAcentral
CCUACGGGAGGCAGCAGUAGGGAAUGUUCGGCAAUGGGGGGAACCCUGACCGAGCAACGCCGCGUGAACGAAGAAGUAUUUCGGUAUGUAAAGUUCUUUUAGUGGAGAAGAAAGAGAAAUUGGACGGGAACCAAUGAAUAAGCUCCGGCUAACGACGUGCCAGCAGCCGCGGUAAUACGGAGGGAGCGAGCGGUAUCCGGAAUUAUUGGGCGUAAAGGGUGUGUAGAUGGUUGAUAUAAGUCUUUUGUAAAAAUGCUCGGCUCAACCUAGUAGGGCAAAAGAUACUGAUGACCUAGAGUACGGCAGAGGCAAGUGGACCUACAUGUGUAGCGGUCACAUGCGUACAUAUAUGUAAGAACACCGGUGGCGAAGGCGGCUUGCUGGGCCUGUACUGACAUUGCGGCACGAAAGCGUGGGGAGCAAACAGGAUUAGAUACCCCGGUAGUC